GAUGAAGAACGUAGCGAAAUGCGAUAAGUAAUGCGAAUUGCAGAAUCCGUGAGUCAUCGAAUCUUUGAACGCACAUUGCGCCCGCCAGAAUUCUGGCGGGCAUGCCUGUUCGAGCGUCAUUUCAACCCUCGAGCUCCCCUUGGGGAGCCCGGCGUUGGGGACCGGCAGUAACACCGCCGGCCCCGAAAUGGAGUGGCGGCCCCGUCCGCGGCGACCUCUGCGUAGUAAAUCCACUCGCACCGGGACCCGGGCGCGGCCACGCCGUAAAACACCCAACCUCCGAAUGUUGACCUCGAAUCAGGUAGGAAUACCCGCUGAACUUAAGCAUAUCAAUAAGCGGAGGA
This 344-nucleotide unclassified non-coding RNA is filed under the name soil metagenome. RNAcentral describes it as "partial contains 5.8S ribosomal RNA, internal transcribed spacer 2, and large subunit ribosomal RNA". The stretch from base 1 to 119 matches the Rfam family "5.8S ribosomal RNA", at positions 35 to 154 of the family's 154-position model. The record is from RNAcentral.